GAUGAACGCUGGCGGCGUGCCUAAUACAUGCAAGUCGAGCGAACAGACGAGGAGCUUGCUCCUCUGACGUUAGCGGCGGACGGGUGAGUAACACGUGGAUAACCUACCUAUAAGACUGGGAUAACUUCGGGAAACCGGAGCUAAUACCGGAUAAUAUAUUGAACCGCAUGGUUCAAUAGUGAAAGACGGUUUUGCUGUCACUUAUAGAAGGAUCCGCGCCGCAUUAGCUAGUUGGUAAGGUAACGGCUUACCAAGGCAACGAUGCGUAGCCGACCUGAGAGGGUGAUCGGCCACACUGGAACUGAGACACGGUCCAGACUCCUACGGGAGGCAGCAGUAGGGAAUCUUCCGCAAUGGGCGAAAGCCUGACGGAGCAACGCCGCGUGAGUGAUGAAGGUCUUCGGAUCGUAAAACUCUGUUAUUAGGGAAGAACAAAUGUGUAAGUAACUAUGCACGUCUUGACGGUACCUAAUCAGAGAGCCACGGCUAACUACGUG
This 497-nucleotide ribosomal RNA is filed under the name uncultured bacterium. Its description in RNAcentral is "partial 16S ribosomal RNA". It matches the Rfam family "Bacterial small subunit ribosomal RNA", at positions 28 to 507 of the family's 1533-position model. The record is from RNAcentral.